AAUUUUGGGCGUAAGAGCUCGUAGGCGGUUUGUCGCGUCUGCUGUGAAAUCCCGAGGCUCAACUUCGGGUCUGCAGUGGGUACGGGCAGACUAGAGUGCGGUAGGGGAGAUUGGAAUUCCUGGUGUAGCGGUGGAAUGCGCAGAUAUCAGGAGGAACACCGAUGGCGAAGGCAGAUCUCUGGGCCGUAACUGACGCUGAGGAGCGAAAGGGUGGGGAGCAAACAGGCUUAGAUACCCUGGUAGUCCACCCCGUAAACGUUGGGAACUAGUUGUGGGGUCCAUUCCACGGAUUCCGUGACGCAGCUAACGCAUUAAGUUCCCCGCCUGGGGAGUACGGCCGCAAGGCUAAAACUCAAAGGAAUUGACGGGGACCCGCACAAGCGGCGGAGCAUGCGGAUUAAUUCGAUGCAACGCGAAGAACCUUACCAAGGCUUGACAUAUACGAGAACGCUGCAGAAAUGUAGAACUCUUUGGACACUCGUAAACAGGUGGUGCAUGGUUGUCGUCAGCUCGUGUCGUGAGAUGUUGGGUUAAGUCCCGCAACGAGCGCAACCCUCGUUCUAUGUUGCCAGCACGUAAUGGUGGGAACUCAUGGGAUACUGCCGGGGUCAACUCGGAGGAAGGUGGGGAUGACGUCAAAUCAUCAUGCCCCUUAUGUCUUGGGCUUCACGCAUGCUACAAUGGCCGGUACAAAGGGCUGCAAUACCGUGAGGUGGAGCGAAUCCCAAAAAGCCGGUCCCAGUUCGGAUUGAGGUCUGCAACUCGACCUCAUGAAGUCGGAGUCGCUAGUAAUCGCAGAUCAGCAACGCUGCGGUGAAUACGUUCCCGGGUCUUGUACACACCGCCCGUCAAGUCAUGAAAGUCGGUAACACCUGAAGCCGGUGGCCCAACCCUUGUGGAGGGAGCCGUCGAAGGUGGGAUCGGUAAUUAGGACUAAGUCUAA
Molecule: ribosomal RNA, 943 nt
Filed under: Microbacteriaceae bacterium U7
Lineage: Bacteria; Bacillati; Actinomycetota; Actinomycetes; Micrococcales; Microbacteriaceae
Description: bacterial SSU rRNA
Rfam family: Bacterial small subunit ribosomal RNA
Source: RNAcentral